RNA transcript from Prunus persica (peach), 1664 nucleotides. It is a transcript of the gene named glucose-1-phosphate adenylyltransferase large subunit 1, with no coding region annotated. The transcript is spliced from 12 exons. The record is from RefSeq and is a predicted model, not a curated record. NCBI's taxonomy places the organism in Eukaryota, Viridiplantae, Streptophyta, Magnoliopsida, Rosales, Rosaceae.
AUGUGGGACUUUGUGCAAGUCGUCGUGGUGGCGAUACGUGUCCUGGAGAUUAGAUUUGGCAGUUGGGAGCUUCGGCAGGUCCCAGUUGGAGGAUGCUACCGUCUUAUAGACAUUCCAAUGAGCAAUUGCAUCAACAGCAAUAUAAACAAGAUUUUUGUACUGACGCAGUUUAAUUCUGCUUCUCUCAAUCGUCACAUUGCUCGCACCUAUUUUGGAAAUGGUAUCAACUUUGGGGAAGGAUUUGUAGAGGUUCUGGCAGCCACUCAAACGCCUGGGGAAGCAGGAAUGAAUUGGUUCCAAGGAACAGCAGAUGCUGUGAGGCAAUUUAUAUGGGUAUUUGAGGAUGCCAAAAACAGGGAUGUUGAGAAUGUACUGAUUUUGUGUGGCGAUCAUCUUUACCGAAUGGAUUAUACGGACUUUGUGCAGAGUCACGUUGAUAGAAAUGCUGAUAUUACAAUUUCAUGUGCCGCAGUGGGUGACAGGUCUACUUACAUGACUGCAUUAAUGAAUAAUAUAUCUCAGACAUAAGUUUUACCCUUCUUGGUUGACAUUCUGCAGCAAACAGAUACCACGCUUCUGGGAUUGUCCCCACAAGAUGCCAUGAAAUCCCCAUAUGUUGCAUCAAUGGGUGUUUAUGUAUUUAAGACAGAAAUUUUGCUAAAUCUUCUGAGGUGGCGAUAUCCAACAUCAAACGACUUCGGGUCUGAAAUCAUUCCUGCAGCAGUGAGAGAGCACAAAGUUCAAGCAUAUAUGUUCAGAGAAUACUGGGAGGACAUUGGAACUAUAAAGUCUUUCUAUGAUGCUAACUUGGCCCUCACUGAAGAGGUAGAUUUCAUUUUCUAUGACCCAAAGACACCUAUCUUCACCUCUCCUCGAUUCUUACCACCAACCAAGAUUGACAAGUGCCGGAUUGUGGAUGCAAUAAUAUCACAUGGAUGUUUCUUGCGAGAAUGUAGUGUCCAGCAUUCAAUUGUAGGUGAACGUUCACGAUUGGAUUAUGGGGUUGAGCUGAAGGAUGCUAUAAUGAUGGGUGCAGACUAUUACCAAACUGAAACUGAAAUUGCAUCUCUGCUUGCGGAGGGGAAGGUCCCAGUUGGUAUUGGAAGGAAUACAAAGAUUAGGAAUUGUAUAAUUGAUAAGAAUGCAAAGAUAGGGAAGGACGCAGUGAUCGUGAACAAAGAUGGGGUUCGAGAAGCAGAUAGGCCAGAAGAGGGAUUUUACAUUCGUGAGGGAAUCACAAUUAUUCUGGAGAAGGCAACAAUACAAGAUGGCAUGGUUAUAUGAUGGAUCUCAACAUCUCAAGUACUUUUCAAGCACAGUUGAAAAAUGGUGGUGGGAAAGAGACUUGCAAACGUUUGGAUCUUAACAUCUCAAGUGCAUUUGGCAGCUGAGGAGUAUAGCUUCUGCAGCAUUUUGCCUUUUAAACUAGAAAAAUCCUUCAGUACUUGUAAAAAUGGAGUUUAUAAGCUUAUAAGAGUUCUAGAGUCACGAGAUGUACAAAAAUAAGCUACAGCAGCUGACCCGCCGCCGGCUGCUUUCAUCCUUCGUGGAGGUGAUAUAUCCAUAAGAACCUAUGAACUUUCUGUAUCAAUAUUGAUUAUGAAUAAUGUUUGAAACAUAGUUGUAUCUCAGAAAAAGAAAAAGCAUUUUAUUUAACUUGUGGA